This 907-nucleotide ribosomal RNA is filed under the name uncultured bacterium. RNAcentral describes it as "bacterial SSU rRNA". It matches the Rfam family "Bacterial small subunit ribosomal RNA", at positions 33 to 931 of the family's 1533-position model. The record is from RNAcentral.
ACGCUGGCGGCAGGCUUAACACAUGCAAGUCGAACGGUAGCAGGAGAAAGCUUGCUUUCUUGCUGACGAGUGGCGGACGGGUGAGUAAUGCUUGGGAAUCUGGCUUAUGGAGGGGGAUAACUACGGGAAACUGUAGCUAAUACCGCGUAGUGUCGAGAGACGAAAGUGCGGGACCGCAAGGCCGCAUGCCAUGAGAUGAGCCCAAGUGGGAUUAGGUAGUUGGUGGGGUAAAGGCCUACCAAGCCUGCGAUCUCUAGCUGGUCUGAGAGGAUGGCCAGCCACACCGGAACUGAGACACGGUCCAGACUCCUACGGGAGGCAGCAGUGGGGAAUAUUGCGCAAUGGGGGGAGCCCUGACGCAGCCAUGCCGCGUGAAUGAAGAAGGCCUUCGGGUUGUAAAGUUCUUUCGGUAUUGAGGAAGGUUGAUGUGUUAAUAGUACAUCAAAUUGACGUUAAAUACGGAAGAAGCACCGGCUAACUCCGUGCCAGCAGCCGCGGUAAUACGGAGGGUGCGAGCGUUAAUCGGAAUAACUGGGCGUAAAGGGCACGCAGGCGGUUAUUUAAGUGAGGUGUGAAAGCCCCGGGCUUAACCUGGGAAUUGCAUUUCAGACUGGGUAACUAGAGUACUUUAGGGAGGGGUAGAAUUCCACGUGUAGCGGUGAAAUGCGUAGAGAUGUGGAGGAAUACCGAAGGCGAAGGCAGCCCCUUGGGAAUGUACUGACGCUCAUGUGCGAAAGCGUGGGGAGCAAACAGGAUUAGAUACCCUGGUAGUCCACGCUGUAAACGCUGUCGAUUUGGGGAUUGGGCUUAAAGCUUGGUGCCCGUAGCUAACGUGAUAAAUCGACCGCCUGGGGAGUACGGCCGCAAGGUUAAAACUCAAAUGAAUUGACGGGGGCCCGCACAAGCG